GAUCAUGGCUCAGGAUGAACGCUAGCUACAGGCUUAACACAUGCAAGUCGAGGGCAGCAUUAUCGAAGCUUGCUUGAUAGAUGGCGACCGGCGCACGGGUGAGUAACGCGUAUCCAACCUUCCCCAUAGUCAGGAAUAGCCCGGCGAAAGUCGAAUUAAUGCCUGAUGUUUUCCACGGACGGCAUCCGAUGUGGAACAAAGAUUGAUCGCUAUGGGAUGGGGAUGCGUCUGAUUAGCUUGUUGGCGGGGUAACGGCCCACCAAGGCAACGAUCAGUAGGGGUUCUGAGAGGAAGGUCCCCCACAUUGGAACUGAGACACGGUCCAAACUCCUACGGGAGGCAGCAGUGAGGAAUAUUGGUCAAUGGGCGGAAGCCUGAACCAGCCAAGUAGCGUGAGGGAUGACUGCCCUAUGGGUUGUAAACCUCUUUUAUAAGGGAAUAAAAUACGGGACGUGUCCUGUUUUGCAUGUACCUUAUGAAUAAGGACCGGCUAAUUCCGUG
RNAcentral lists this ribosomal RNA (501 nucleotides) under uncultured bacterium. RNAcentral's name for it is "bacterial SSU rRNA". It matches the Rfam family "Bacterial small subunit ribosomal RNA", at positions 15 to 507 of the family's 1533-position model. The record is from RNAcentral.